AUGAGUGCGUGUAAGAAGGCCAGGGCGGAAGCUACAUCUGUUGUGAGUUCAGACAGACUUAGCAGUCUACCUCCAGAGUUAAAGGGCGACAUCCUCUCCCGUUUGAAUGUCGAAGAAGCGGUUAAGACUAGCACCUUAUCAAGUACUUGGAGGGAUGCAUGGACUAAUAUGCCAAAAAUAUUUCUGCGCGAUGGAAAUUUCGCAAGAACCAAGUUCGUCACAUUAGUUGAUAUGGUGCUAUCACUCCACAACGGAACUGUAGAGAUGUUUGACAUUUCAGGUAGCAAAACUUACCAUGAUGAGUUCGGUAGGUGGAUGCGCAUGCUAUCUAGGAUAAGACCAAGAUCAGUUACAAUCAGGUUGAACUCAGGGCCAGGGUAUAGGAUUCCUUCAUGUCUAUUUUCUAUCGGCGAUUUGAGGGUUCUGCACCUGCAAAACUGCGUCAUCAGCUUGCCCCGGGUAUUCCAAGGUUUCAAGAGAUUAACUCACCUGGACCUGAAAAAUUUCUCCUCCACAGACAUGGACAUCCAAAAUCUGGUCUCCUUCUGCCCCGUACUGAGUUAUUUGAAACUAGCUUCUUUUGAGGGCAUCAACUAUCUAAACGUUCAAGCUCCUAAACUGAAACGUCUUCAUGUUUUUGGGGACUUUGAAGACAUUAAUUUGGAUGCCCCUAAUUUGGAGGCGGCCAUUCUCUCUCUUGCUCAUGAAGCUAAAGCACAUCAAUCUGUUCCAAUUGCGCAUGACAUGGAAAGCCAUGUCAAGAAGUCAUUGGGAGACCUAAGUGGCAUCAAAACACUUGGAAUUAGUGGCAUUUUCAUGAAGUAUCUAUCAAAAUGGUGCAUACUUACAAAGUUCCCUGCCGUAUUUCAUCGCCUCGAGCAUAUUUAUCUUGUGAUAUGCUUUUGGGACCAGAGGCAAGUCUUGGCCACUUGUUCGCUGUUUCAGAAUGCCCCUAACUUAAAGAAACUUGACAUGUGGGACCACUCUUCGAGCACAUUGGAUCAGGAUCAGGCGAGCAUUCAAGAGCUUACCAUGCAAGUGCAACUGGAUCAUCUCGUAACGGCCAGUGUGAAAGAUUUCAGGGGCCUGGACUGCGAAGUCAAUUUCCUGGCAAAGCUACUGAGUUGGGCGCCGGCUCUGGAAGAAGUGAAGAUAGAAUGGACGGGCAAAACAGAGUGCAGCAUGGUUCUUGCCAAGCUAUUAGCUCUGCCGAGGGUGUCUCCCAGGGCCAAGGUCACCAAGCUAAACUAUAUCAGUCUGUUCCAAUUGGGUAUGACAAGGAAAACCAUGUCAAGAAGUCAUUGGGAAGCCUAA
Molecule: ribosomal RNA, 1314 nt
Filed under: Triticum aestivum (bread wheat)
Lineage: Eukaryota; Viridiplantae; Streptophyta; Magnoliopsida; Poales; Poaceae
Description: partial small subunit ribosomal RNA
Source: RNAcentral